AAAAGCUCGUAGUUGGAUCUCAGCUCCGGUCGGACGGUCCACCUACCGGUGGUUACUGUUCGUUGCCGAGCGUUUCGAGGCAGCGGUCGUAUGAUCUUUAUCGGUUGUAUGGCUGUUUCUUCAAGUUUACUUUGAAAAAAUUAGAGUGCUCAACGCAGGCGCGACGCCUGAAUAAUUGUGCAUGGAAUAAUGGAAUAGGACCUCGGUUCUAUUUUGUUGGUUUUCGGAACACGAGGUAAUGAUUAAGAGGGACAGACGGGGGCAUUCGUAUUGCGACGCUAGAGGUGAAAUUCUUGGACCGUCGCAAGACGAACUACUGCGAAAGCAUUUGCCAAGAAUGUUUCCAUUAAUCAAGAACGAAAGUUAGAGGUUCGAAGGCGAUCAGAUACCGCCCUAGUUCUAACCAUAAACGAUGCCAGCCAGCGAUCCGGCUGUGUUCCUCAAAUGACACGCCGGGCAGCUUCCGGGAAACCAAAGCUUUUGGGUUCCGGGGGAAGUAUGGUUGCAAAGCUGAAACUUAAAGGAAUUGACGGAAGGGCACCACCAGAAAUGGAGCCUGCGGCUUAAUUUGACUCAACACGGGAAAACUUACCCGGCCCGGACACAGGAAGGAUUGACAGAUUAAGAGCUCUUUCUUGAUUCUGUGGGUGGUGGUGCAUGGCCGUUCUUAGUUGGUGGGGCGACUUGUCUGGUUAAUUCCGAUAACGAACGAGACUCUAGCCUACUAAAUAGACGUUCCGAUUCUCUUUCGUCGGACGUUCUUCUUAGAGGGACAAGCGGCGUUUAGCCGCACGAGACAGAGCAAUAACAGGUCUGAGAUGCCCUUAGAUGUCCGGGGCCGCACGCGCGCUACAUUGAAGGAAUCAGCGUGUGCUUUCCCUGUCCGAAAGGACUGGGUAACCCGUUGAACCUCCUUCGUGCUGGGGAUUGACGCAUGUAAUUAUCGUCAUGAACGAGGAAUUCCCAGUAAGCACGAGUCAUCAGCUCGUGUUGAUUACGUCCCUGCCCUUUGUCCACACCGCCCGUCGCUACUACCGAUUGAAUGAUUUAGUGAGGUCUUCGGACUGGCGCUCGGAUUGGCCUUCGCGGUCGAGCCGGUGUGCCGGAAAGAUGACCAAACUUGAUCACUUAGAGGAAGUAAAAGUCGUAACAAGGUUUC
This 1159-nucleotide ribosomal RNA is filed under the name Arachnura higginsii. RNAcentral describes it as "SSU rRNA". It matches the Rfam family "Eukaryotic small subunit ribosomal RNA", at positions 622 to 1803 of the family's 1831-position model. Lineage: Eukaryota; Metazoa; Arthropoda; Arachnida; Araneae; Araneidae. The record is from RNAcentral.